UACGGAGGGUGCUAGCGUUGUUCGGAAUUACUGGGCGUAAAGCGCACGUAGGCGGCUUUGUAAGUUAGAGGUGAAAGCCUGGAGCUCAACUCCAGAACUGCCUUUAAAACUGCAUCGCUCGAGUGCAGGAGAGGUGAGUGGAAUUCCGGGUGUAGAGGUGAAAUGCGUAGAUAUUCGGAAGAACACCAGUGGCGAAGGCGGCUCACUGGACUGGUAUUGACGCUGAGGUGCGAAAGCGUGGGGAGCAAACAGG
RNAcentral lists this ribosomal RNA (253 nucleotides) under uncultured bacterium. Its description in RNAcentral is "partial 16S ribosomal RNA". It matches the Rfam family "Bacterial small subunit ribosomal RNA", at positions 524 to 776 of the family's 1533-position model. The record is from RNAcentral.